CAGUUUUGUAUUUUACAAAACUCAAAUCAACAAAUUUUACCAAAAAGAUUUUGUUAAUCAAAUAUCUUAGAUCCUCAAAAUCUCUCACAUAUAUAUUUUAAGACAGACUCUAUUUGUAUUAUAGUUGAUAUACUGUAUAUUUCAAGGGGAGAAUUCUAAUUGUUGGAAGCGCGCCCUCUCGUGUUGACAUUUGGGAUUGACUUCAAGCAGUGAAACUUGAAUAUUUGAAUUGAGAUUGAAGUACCCACUAGAUGGCAGCACAUAACAAUUUUUCCCCCUUUUACCUGCAUGAAAGUUCAACGUGAUUUUUUUCUUUCUUUCACGUUUCAGUAAUUUUCUUUUGUAGUUAAAAUAUAAAUUAAAGUGAAACAGUCUAAUAUGUUAAAGUAAAUAUGUUUAAAAGAAAUACAACAUUAUGAUUAUCAAGUUGAUACAAGUGAAAAAAAUCCAACAGAUCAUUCGAAAUGUGAAAUUGUGUCACUGUUUCCUGUUUGUCUGGUGGCCAGGGAUAGGGCGCGUCCCCUAGUGGAGCUAUUCUGCCAUCCCAGUUGGAAAAGACCUACAGCUCAAAGGAAAAGAAAAGCAACAGCAGGGGGUGCGGUUGUUCAGAGUUUCACUGACCUUUCAAAGAAGAGCGGAGCAAAUGGCAGAGGGACGAGUCAGGAGAGGGGGGACGGAAGACGUCGCUUGAGGAGGCGGUCUCCAGAAAUACGAGGUGGGGCGGUGCUAAUUAAAAAGGGGUUUUUACUGGGAGUAAAAACCAGAUGUUAAUGGAACAUACUGCCAUCUGGUGCCACGACGUGACUGGAGACGUUUCCUGUUUAUCUGGAUGAAAGGUGUGUGCGAGGUGGGGGCUGUGAUUUCCCUGGAUCAGUUUGACGUCUCAUCAUUUCAGCAGCAGUGACUGAUGAACAGCUGGUCUUUGGCCAAAUCAGUGAGGUCAAAGGUCAAGAGCAGCAACAACAACAACAGCCACAAGGACUUGUGCAAGGACGGACACUACAAGAACCUUCUGUUUUCCACAAGGACGUCUCAGACUAACAGCAGCGUCGCUCAGCUCUCCGUGCCUUCCUGCGUCUGCGCUAACCCAGCUCCCUCCUCCAGUCUCUCGUGGUCAAAGCGGUGGUUCCGGCAGCUCGAUGAAUAAUAUGACUCUCCACGGGAAAACUGAUGAGUCAUGGACCCGCCCACUGGUCACAGUCCAGUCCUCCACGCUGGGCGCUGCGUCCCCCCCCCGUGGGUGAGUUAGUGGCACUUUUGGUCAACGCUCCUCCAUAUGGCCUCUCUGUCAGAACAGUUCCAGGAUUGUUCCAGGUUCACCCUGUGGUCCCGACUCCAAGUGGAGCUCACUCAUCCUGGGCCAGGGAGAGAGGGGGAGACAGAGAAAGGGUGAGACAGAGAAAGGGUGAGAGAGA
Long non-coding RNA from Cynoglossus semilaevis (tongue sole), 1415 nucleotides. RefSeq lists it as uncharacterized. The record is from RefSeq and is a predicted model, not a curated record. Lineage: Eukaryota; Metazoa; Chordata; Actinopteri; Pleuronectiformes; Cynoglossidae. The transcript has 7 exons.